GAUGAACGCUGGCGGCGUGCCUAAUACAUGCAAGUCGAGCGAACAGACGAGGAGCUUGCUCCUCUGACGUUAGCGGCGGACGGGUGAGUAACACGUGGAUAACCUACCUAUAAGACUGGGAUAACUUCGGGAAACCGGAGCUAAUACCGGAUAAUAUAUUGAACCGCAUGGUUCAAUAGUGAAAGACGGUUUUGCUGUCACUUAUAGAUGGAUCCGCGCCGCAUUAGCUAGUUGGUAAGGUAACAGCUUACCAAGGCAACGAUGCGUAGCCGACCUGAGAGGGUGAUCGGCCACACUGGAACUGAGACACGGUCCAGACUCCUACGGGAGGCAGCAGUAGGGAAUCUUCCGCAAUGGGCGAAAGCCUGACGGAGCAACGCCGCGUGAGUGAUGAAGGUCUUCGGAUCGUAAAACUCUGUUAUUAGGGAAGAACAAAUGUGUAAGUAACUAUGCACGUCUUGACGGGACCUAAUCAGAAAGCCACGGCUAACUACGU
Molecule: ribosomal RNA, 496 nt
Filed under: uncultured bacterium
Lineage: Bacteria
Description: partial 16S ribosomal RNA
Rfam family: Bacterial small subunit ribosomal RNA
Source: RNAcentral